RNAcentral lists this ribosomal RNA (465 nucleotides) under Vreelandella stevensii. RNAcentral describes it as "partial 16S ribosomal RNA". It matches the Rfam family "Bacterial small subunit ribosomal RNA", at positions 338 to 795 of the family's 1533-position model. Lineage: Bacteria; Pseudomonadati; Pseudomonadota; Gammaproteobacteria; Oceanospirillales; Halomonadaceae. The record is from RNAcentral.
CCUACGGGCGGCAGCAGUGGGGAAUAUUGGACAAUGGGCGAAAGCCUGAUCCAGCCAUGCCGCGUGUGUGAAGAAGGCCUUCGGGUUGUAAAGCACUUUCAGUGGGGAAGAAAGCCUUGGGGCUAAUACCCUCGAGGAAGGACAUCACCCACAGAAGAAGCACCGGCUAACUCCGUGCCAGCAGCCGCGGUAAUACGGAGGGUGCGAGCGUUAAUCGGAAUUACUGGGCGUAAAGCGCGCGUAGGCGGUCUGAUAAGCCGGUUGUGAAAGCCCCGGGCUCAACCUGGGAACGGCAUCCGGAACUGUCAGGCUAGAGUGCAGGAGAGGAAGGUAGAAUUCCCGGUGUAGCGGUGAAGUGCGUAGAGAUCGGGAGGAAUACCAGUGGCGAAGGCGGCCUUCUGGACUGACACUGACGCUGUGGUGCGAAAGCGUGGGUAGCAAACAGGACUAGAUACCCCUGUAGUC